Molecule: long non-coding RNA, 3669 nt
Filed under: Homo sapiens (human)
Lineage: Eukaryota; Metazoa; Chordata; Mammalia; Primates; Hominidae
Description: HSALNT0327765
Source: RNAcentral
AUUACCUGUUGUGACUGACCCAGGUGCGUCGUCCCAGACACCCGAUGUUACAAGACCGUUAUAAAAAGUCUCAUUUUCACUGUUCUUCGUGCCUCUAAGUCCAUUCUUUGGGUUUGAACGGGUGAGUGUGUUUCUCACAACCUGAGGGCCCGUUCGGGAUCUCUGUGCCUACGUGGAGUGGGACUCCGGCUGAGAGAAGAGACAUGUCCCACCCGAUUUUUGUGCCCCACUCUGUCUGGGUGUCCUGGCUCCCCACAGAAGCCAUAGAUAAACCCGAGACUGUUAUUCAGGAGACGGUGGAGGUGACGCAGGGAGAAAAGCAGGCACUGCGGCAAACAGGCAACCUCGUGCACCAGCCAAGGUUGGGUAUUUCCUUCAGCCUAUUAAAGGAAUUGGGAACCUGUGGUACCUUCCUUUGAGUGUCACGGGAGUACCAUCUCUUUACCUUGGCAAGAGCAGAUCCUUCAUAUCUGUAGUUGAAUCACACACUCUCAGAUAUCUGAGCUUGAAUUCUACAGGGACACUUAUCUCAGCUUUUGAGUUUUAGGAGAAAUAGCCUGCAGACCAGAGAAUAAGGAAAAGUUGUUUCCUGCCAAAGAACAAGCAGUAUUGUGAAAUAUAAAAUUUUAUUGUUGCGGUGAAAGAAAAUUUCAGUAUCAAAUUUUUGAAAACACCAUGUAAGAGAUGCCUGCUUUCCCUUCACCUUCCGGCAUGAUUGUAAGUUUCCUGAGGCCUCUCCAGACAUGCUUCCUGUACAGCCUGUAGAACUAUUCUGACACCUCCACUUCACACAAAACACUCCACUUUAGAGUUCCUUGGCCCCUUAAAGCAUUGCAUGCUACUCCCUCAAACCUUUUUCUGGUAUCAACAACACAUCUUGGCUGGUGGAAACUGCUUAAUAACAUUUGCAUGAAAAUGUGUUUAGUCAAGGUACCCUUUUCUCCUCUGGCCAAAUAUCAGCAUUCAAUCUAAUACAAAACACUUGAAUUCUCUCUGGCAGAAAAUGCAAUCCUGAGGGAUACGACAAAAAAAAAUAAAAGCUAUUUUCUGCCUGAUUAAUCUGUUCAUUAGCUUCUAAUUUCUAGAUCCCUGUAGCUACAAAAUGCCUGUCCUUCAGAGACUUAGGCCAAUUUUGCCUAUAAGCCUAUGAGUUAGCAUAUGUCUUCACAGUAUCUUGGAGUGGCUGGAGGUAGAGUGAUAUAUUAGCCAGAACUGGAGUCUGUUAUUUGCAACCAAGAUACCUAAAUAAUAUUAUUAAAAAGUAUAAUAUUGACCAAAAUAUAGAUUUCUAGGACAAAUUUGUACAUUCAGUGAAAGGAAAAGCACAGUUAAAAUCUGUAUAGUUUCAAUGAAAGACUCAUCCUCUUCGGUUUGGUUUGGGGUGCCUUUAUACUUAGGAUUUCUCUGCUCAAUCUUUCAUUUCUACUACCAAGUGCAAUAAUAUAGGUUAAGAAUCUUUAUUGGACUGGGAAGGAAGUACCCACUCCUUGAUUAUCCCUUUAUCCAGGCUUGUAAACUAAGGCAAAACCGGGCCUUGACACAAAGAAAAGAAGGAAUGAAGAAAGCUGUUUUAUAUUUUUUCUUAGUUAAAUCAUGAAACUCAAAACUAAAAAAAAAAAAAAAGUCUCCUGGGCCCACACUUGCUUAAUGCAAAAUCAGAAAAUGUACGGAACUCCAAACAAAUGCUAGCAAUCCACUGAAAUCAUCAUUUGAAUUAAAACUAUAUUUAGUCUUCAUAAGCCUAACACAGUUCACAUUAAAUUUCAAAGGUGACUCCUAAUUACACAUAUGCAAUCUUACAAAUCAAUAGAGAAAUUCAGGCAAUCCCAUAGAUGUAUGAGAAAAUGAAUUGGAUAGGCCUUUUAUAAAAUGUAAUAUCCAAAUGGCCAAUGAACACAGAAAAUGUGAUUAUUUUAUUGGUCAUAAAAAUACAAAUUAAAACUAUAAUAUCCUACAAAUCUAAUGUAAAGCAAGGUGACUAUUGUGAAUAAUACUGUAAUGUAUACUUGAAAUUUGCAAGAGUAGGUAUUAAAUGUUUUCAUCUUUCCCCCAAAAUUGAUACCAAUGUAAGAUGGUGGAUAUUUUAAUUAGCCUGAUUGUGGUAAUCAUUUAGCAAUGCAUACAUAUACAAAAACAUCGUGUUGUACACCUUAAAUAGGUAUAAUUUUUUUUUUUUUUUUUUUGAGACGGAGUCUUGCUUUGUUGCCAGGCUGGAGUGCAGUGGUGCGAUCUCCGCUCACUGCAACCUCCGCCUCCUGGGUUCAAGCGAUUCUCCUGCCUCAGCCUCCUGAGUAGCUGGGACUACAGGCGUGCACUACCACGCCCAGUUAAUUUUUUGUAUUUUUAGUAGAGGCGGUGUUUUACCAUGUUGGCCAGUAUGAGAUACAGUUUUUAUUUGGAAUUAUUAUACCUCAAUAAAGCUGAGAGAGAGAAACCUAUAAUAUUCUACUAUUACACAGCUGUUAGGAUUGCUAAAAUGAAAAUGAGGAAAAUAAGAAGUAUUGGCAAGGAUAUGGAGCAACUUAAAUUCUCAUAUGUAGCUGAUAGAAAUGUAAAACUGAUAGGCAGAAUAUGUUAAAAGGAGUGUAUAAAUAUACUGUAACUCAAUAAUUUUACUACCAGUUAUGUUCUCAUGUAAAUAUGUAAUAUGUUCUCAAAAUGUUAUAUACAGGGAUUUUAAAAGUGACACUACUUAUACUUGCCCAAAAGGAAACCAAUACAAAUGUUAUCAAAAACACAUUGAUACAUAAAUUGUAUUACAUUUAUACAACAAAAUAAUACUUUACCGCAAUGAAAAUGGAUAAACUACAAUUACAUACAACCAUAUGGAUGACUCUCAACUGCAUAGUGUUAAAUGAGACAAGUCAAUUCAAAAAGUACAUGUAUAUUGGAUGAUAUCAUUUGCAUAAUAUUCAAAAACUAAUUAUGAGGCUACAAAUCAGAAUACUGGUAAGGCUUGGGGAGAGCAGUAUUGAGAAGAGGGAAGGAGAGAGUGUGCAGUUUCUGGAGAAGUUCUGUUUCUUGUUCCUCUUGCCAGUUACACCAUUGAAUUCAUUUAGUGAAAAACUUAUCAAACAACCUACUUUUUAUUGGUGUACUUUUCUAGGCACAUGAUGUACUUGGAUAAAAUAUUUACUGUAAAAAUAAGUGGCUGAAAUAAAAAUCAGUGUUACAGAUCUUGAAUAUUUCCUGUGAAGAGACAAAGCUUACAUGACAUUAGUGAGCAAAAAUUUGUUUACUUGUAAUAUUGUACCAAUUAUUAAAAACACUUCCCAUAUCUCAUCUACUGUCUAUCUUUCCUUGAUAACCCUUAGUGCAGUGAAAUAAAAUCUUAGUAAUCAAUUAUUGUUGGCUGAUGCAAAAAGGACAGAAUUAGUUCUAAGAGUAAUGAAGUGAAACAGUAUAUCAAAAAAAGAUAGAACAUUAGGUACUAACAAACUACUUUAGAAUAUUUUUUGGUUUAAAAAUAUUCAGAAAUAUGCAUGAAAAUAGAACUUUAAACAUACUCAUGACCACAUCCUCCCACAAUAGGGUCUAGCUUGUAUAGUCAAUAUAUUUGCUGUGGAACUUUGGAAAAAUGGUAUUAUAAACAAUGUUCUAAGAAUAAAUGAUAAAACGAAAUGAAAUUUGACAAAAUGUAAUUUUUUAAUUAGAAAAAAAACACCCUGA